AAAUCGCAUCUGUACCGGUACAACCAUCGAGUUGUCACCGAUACACUUUCUGUACCGGUACAACCAUCAAGAUGUACCGGUACACAGCCCAGCAAAAUGCAAUCCGAGAGCAGUCUAAGUCCAUCAUUUUGGCGAACUUAGCGCUACUUUAAAUACUACAAUUUUCGGGAUACGAGCCAUAGAUCGGAACAUUAUCAACGACCCUCCAGAAUAACUGACAAAACUCCGAACACAGAUCAAACACUCAAACCUCGUAAUUUGUAAAGGUCUAGUGUGUUACAGCAUUUGUAAUUACAUCUUACCAAACGGCCCCUUAGUGAAUGGUAUCCGAGGUUCUAUAUUCGAAUCCUAGUUGAUUCAUAUUUUCAGCUAAAUUUAUUUUUUAAAAAUAUAAACAAAACAGGUUAAUUAUUUAAAUAUUAGUAAGUUGGGAGAAAAGAGAAAAAAAAUUCUCUAAAAAAAUAAACAAAGUGGGUAGCAUGCUGCUACCUUUCUCUCAAAAAAAAUUAUUUAAUAAUAAUAAUAAUAAUAUUUAUUAUUAUUAAAUAUUAAUUUUUAAUUAUUAUUAUUAUAAUAAAAUUUAAUUAUUUUAAAUAUUUGUAGCUUGGGAGGAGUGAGAGAAAAAAAUUCCAAUCCUAAUUAGCAUAUAAAUCUUAUUAAAUUAUCUUUUAUUUUUUUAAUUUAUCAAAAGAAUUUUAAGUUAGAACUACUGUUGAAAAGAAAAUAAAUUAAAAAUAUUUUUUUUUUUUAAUAAGGUUAGAAAUGGUGUUAGUUCUAAAAUAAAAAGGUUGUACGAUAUUAUUGU
RNAcentral lists this long non-coding RNA (805 nucleotides) under Ananas comosus (pineapple). Its description in RNAcentral is "long non-coding RNA (ACOM_LNC007384)". Lineage: Eukaryota; Viridiplantae; Streptophyta; Magnoliopsida; Poales; Bromeliaceae. The record is from RNAcentral.